CUUUGUAGGAAAUGACAAAGCGAUGACGUUAAUUUAUGAAUAAGCCCCGGCUAAUUACGUGCCAGCAGCCGCGGUAAUACGUAAGGGGCGAGCGUUGUUCGGGAUCAUUGGGCGUAAAGGGUGAGUAGGCGGAUAUGCAAGUCUAUGUGUAAAAUACCACAGCUCAACUGUGGAACUAUGCUGGAAACUGCAUGACUAGAGUCUGAUAGGGGAAGUUAGAAUUCUUGGUGUAAGGGUGGAAUCUGUUGAUAUCAGGAAGAAUACCAGAGGCGAAGGCGAACUUCUAGGUCAAGACUGACGCUGAGUCACGAAAGCGUAGGGAGCAAACAGGAUUAGAUACCCUGGUAGUCUACGCUGUAAACGAUGCACACUUGGUGUUAAUCGAAAGGUUAGUACCGAAGCUAACGUGUUAAGUGUGCCGCCUGGGGAGUAUGUUCGCAAGAAUGAAACUCAAAGGAAUUGACGGGGGCCCGCACAAGCGGUGGAGCAUGUGGUUUAAUUCGAUGAUACGCGAGGAACCUUACCAGGGCCCGACAUAUACAGGAUAUAGUUAGAGAU
RNAcentral lists this ribosomal RNA (558 nucleotides) under Borrelia miyamotoi. RNAcentral's name for it is "bacterial SSU rRNA". It matches the Rfam family "Bacterial small subunit ribosomal RNA", at positions 431 to 1007 of the family's 1533-position model. Lineage: Bacteria; Pseudomonadati; Spirochaetota; Spirochaetia; Spirochaetales; Borreliaceae. The record is from RNAcentral.